GAAUUUGAGUUGUACAUGUGGUCACAUGAUCUACAUUCACAGAACUGACUGCACAAUGGAUUAAAAUGGCUUCCUGUGGUCUGAUGUGCUACUUCCUAAUUUGUCGUCGCUUUUCUCAAAUUUGCUGUAAUGGAGUUGAUCGUUUUCAUAGUGAUUCAGCUCCUGAUGGAGGUUCAGUCCUACACAUCCCCUACUGUAAAAAUAUCUCCAGAUGUCAUAAGAGAGUCCAGCUCAGUGAAGAUCAGCUGUGAGACGCCAAAUGUUACAGUGAAUCAGUGUUAUUUCAACACAAACAGUGAGGAGAAGAAUGUAAAAACCAGUUGGAGAUGUGAGCUGGAUCUCACUGGUGCUGAAGUGUUCAGAUGGGCAGCUGUAACAUCACCUGGAUCACUCGACAUUUACUGUUACUACACAAUACAUGGGAUUGAUAAACCAUCACGCCAUUCUCCUCCUGCCACAGUGACGGUUCUAGCUGUAACUGUAAUGUCCACUUCUGAAACCCUAACAUACACUACAAUUGACCUCCAUUCCAAGACAAACCUGUCAACAAGUACAACAAAAAAAACGAUGAUUUCCAUUACAAACUCCACUUUGCCUGGUAACAGUAGAAUAUCAGAACAUAUUUCAACAGAAGCGUCCACUCAAAAAGCUUCACAAAUACACACAUCAACAAUGGCUGUCACUUUCACAACAGCAUCCCCCAGAACAGCUGUUUCUAAUGUUCACACUUCAAUGGCUCAUCCGACAGAUCCACAAACAGGCACAUGGUUUUUAGUGCUGGUUUCCACUGGUGUUGCUGUAUUCUUGUCUGGACUCACAGGACUCAUCUGUCUGUGUCGGUUUGCAAGUCAAAAAAUAAGAAAACUAUCAAUAAAAAUGGAAGUGCCCAGUCAAGGAAUUAGUAUGAGUGGUUCUGGAUCUGCAGAUAUAUAUUCCCUGAUCACUUCUGUACCAGAAACAUCUCAGCCCAUAUCUGGAGGCCUCGAACACCCAGAGUCACAUCAGGAGAGCACAGCAGAUCCCACAGACACUCACUCUUUCAUUAUGUCUGUAAAUUCAGUUUACCAGCCAUCAGAUGUUUUAGUCAAUAAACAACAGAAACAGGAAAAUCCAGAGGAAAAUGAGAAUGUUUAUCACCUGUACUCCAUGAUCCCUGACAAACCAGUUCACUCAAAUGCAGAAGAUCACGUGUACAGUUUGGUGAAGAUGCACUGACAAAUCCCAUGUCUGUGUUCAUUAUGUAUUGCGACUAUAAUUAAAGUGUAUUUACUUUCAGACAAAAACAGUAGGUGUUUAUUUUUUUAUUAUUCAAUGUUUGGUGUGGAAUAUACUGUGACCUCAGUGAAUAUCCAGAGCAUCUUCUCUGGCAAACCCACUAGUACCACUUGUGGAGCUUGGGCAUUCAAUAAGAGCUGAACUAAAAUUGUAAUGAUAAAUGAAAUCUUUUACUUCUUUUCUAAAGAAAUUGAACCAUCUGAAGGUUUGAGCCAAAUGUUUUUUUUCUUAUAAGUUUGUUGUAUUUAAAAACGGCUUAAAUCAGUUUUUUCAAAUUCCAUCAUGUGACGUUAGCUUCUCCUCC
Long non-coding RNA from Sinocyclocheilus grahami, 1579 nucleotides. Ensembl lists it as uncharacterized. NCBI's taxonomy places the organism in Eukaryota, Metazoa, Chordata, Actinopteri, Cypriniformes, Cyprinidae. The record is from Ensembl.